RNAcentral lists this ribosomal RNA (493 nucleotides) under uncultured bacterium. RNAcentral describes it as "partial 16S ribosomal RNA". It matches the Rfam family "Bacterial small subunit ribosomal RNA", at positions 30 to 507 of the family's 1533-position model. The record is from RNAcentral.
AUUGAACGCUGGCGGCAUGCUUUACACAUGCAAGUCGAACGGCAACGAGGAGAAGCUUGCUUCUCUGUCGGCGAGUGGCGAACGGGUGAGUAUAGCAGCGGAACGUGCCAAGUAGUGGGGGAUAACCAAACGAAAGUUUGGCUAAUACCGCGUAAGCUCCAAGGAGGAAAGUAGGGGACCUAAAUAAGGCCUUACGCUAUUUGAUCGGCCGAUGUCGGAUUAGCUAGUUGGUGGGGUAAGGGCUCACCAAGGCAAUGAUCCGUAGCGGGUCUGAGAGGACGAUCCGCCACACUGGGACUGAGACACGGCCCAGACUCCUACGGGAGGCAGCAGUGGGGAAUUUUGGACAAUGGGGGAAACCCUGAUCCAGCCAUGCCGCGUGUAUGAAGAAGGCCUUAGGGUUGUAAAGUACUUUUGUUAGGGAAGAAAAGAUAGUUUUUAAUAAAAAUUAGUGAUGACGGUACCUAAAGAAUAAGCACCGGCUAACUACGUG